This 73-nucleotide transfer RNA is filed under the name Nitrospirota bacterium. Its description in RNAcentral is "Nitrospirae bacterium (sediment metagenome) tRNA-Lys". It matches the Rfam family "tRNA". Rfam says of the family: Transfer RNA (tRNA) molecules are approximately 80 nucleotides in length. Lineage: Bacteria; Pseudomonadati; Nitrospirota. The record is from RNAcentral.
GAGCCGCUAGCUCAGCUGGUAGAGCACCGCCCUUUUAAGGCGGGUGCCCUGGGUUCGAGUCCCAGGCGGCUCA